AUUGAACGCUGGCGGCAGGCCUAACACAUGCAAGUCGAGCGAGCGGCGGACGGGUGAGUAAUGUAUGGGGACUGCCCGAUAGAGGGGGAUAACUACUGGAAACGGUGGCUAAUACCGCAUACUAUCGGAUAACCCCUAUGGGAUUAGCUAGUAGGUGGGGUAAAGGCGCACCUAGGCGACGAUCUCUAGCUGGUCUGAGAGGAUGAUCAGCCACACUGGAACUGAGACACGGCCCAGACGCUUGCGGAGGCAGAAGUGGGGAAUUUUGCACAAUGGGAGGAAGCCUCAUGCAGCCACGCCGAGUGUAUGAAGAAGGCCUUAGGGUGGUAAAGUACUUUGAGCGCGGAGCCGUCACCGGCAGUCGAAGCACCGGCAAUCUCCGUGCCAGCAGCCGCGGUAAUAC
This 403-nucleotide ribosomal RNA is filed under the name uncultured bacterium. RNAcentral describes it as "partial 16S ribosomal RNA". It matches the Rfam family "Bacterial small subunit ribosomal RNA", at positions 30 to 526 of the family's 1533-position model. The record is from RNAcentral.